RNAcentral lists this transfer RNA (84 nucleotides) under Phlebopus portentosus. RNAcentral's name for it is "tRNA-Leu". It matches the Rfam family "tRNA". Rfam says of the family: Transfer RNA (tRNA) molecules are approximately 80 nucleotides in length. The record is from RNAcentral. Lineage: Eukaryota; Fungi; Basidiomycota; Agaricomycetes; Boletales; Boletinellaceae.
GUGAGUAUGCCGUAAUAUAGGUAGCCGGGUGAAUCUUAGGCAUUCAUGAGUUUUCUCAUAAGAGUUCAAAUCUCUUUACUUGCA